AUGGAACAAUUGGCUGCACAUGUGUGUGGAUGGAACGAUAAGUACCUGGGGUGGGCCGCGGAGGAGGAGCGGGGGAGGGGGGAGGCCGGGGAGAGAAGCGCCGCCGCCAUGGCCGCCCUGUCGCCGGUGGCCGGCCUCACUCUCGUCGAGGAAGAGCAGAGGAGGACACGAGAGAGCUUCCCCCCGGCAACGAGGAAACGUUAUCCUGAUAGCACGGCACGGUUACACGCCUACUCCACGCCACGGACACGCGGUGACUCGUUGGCAUUCACCCUGCCCCACCUUCCUUCUCUGCCCAUCCAGUGGCUGGAGACCGCACACCUCUGCUUACUACUCCUAUUCCACGCCUCGUCGCUGUCCGCGCGGUCGCUUGCCAUGCUGCUCCGGCCAGAGCACCGCCUCCGCUCGCCGCCAGCGACCGCGCCCGCCCCUUCCCGAGCCUCCAUUUCCGUCUCCGCGCCGGCGCGCCCUGCCGUCUCCCGCCUCCCUCGCGGCGCGCUCCGGCUCCCCCGCGCGGCUUCUCCGCUCAGGGGCAAAGCGUCGAGCGCCGUGCGCGCGUCGGCCGGACCGGCGGGCAUGCCGUCCGUGGCGCACCGGGAGGUGGCGCGGGCCGUGGCGGGAGAGGCGGAGGCGCGGCUGGGCGACCGGCUGCUGCCCUCGGCCGUCCCCGCCGACGUCGCCGAGUUCCGCAACGGCGACGGCACCGCCCUCGGCUCCCUGGACGUGCGCCGCGGCGCGCCCGGCUCCUCGAUCGAUUUCAUGCUGCAGUCGUCGCUUCACUGCAAAGUCCCGAACGGUGCAAUCGACAUCACGUCUCUCUUCAUUAACCUAAACGCCUCGACGGACGCGCCACAUUUCGUCAUGGAGUUCAUACAGGGCAGCCCAACUUCAAUGGUCGUGCUUCUGGACCUGCUGCCACGGAAAGACCUCGCGCUCCACCCGGAGUACAUCGAGAAGUACUAUGGAAAUACUGAGGCGGACAAGCAACGCAAGAUCAUCGAAGAAUUGCCGCAAGCCCGCCCGUACCUUUCGCCGUCCCUCUUCGUGCGCAGCGCAUUCUCUCCCACGGCGGUGUUCUUCACCAUUGACUGUGGGCAAGGAGGGGAGAGUGUCUUGGAGGAGAUAGUGCAUGGUCAUCUGGCGUCUGUUGUUAAGGGUCUUCUUCAGAUAUGGCUUGGUACUUGCGCCGGUGACACCUCUGAAGUGGACGAGGGCGAGAGGGAGAUCAUGGUUAAGAGGGACCGGACUGUAAGAUCAAAGUCGAUCGAGGUCGACCUGACCGCGAAUUUGCCGAGGAUGUUUGGCCCCGACGUGUCCGGCCGUGUCAUCGCCGAAAUUCGUAAGGCCUUUGGGGUGGAGGAGGCCUAG
This 1368-nucleotide ribosomal RNA is filed under the name Triticum aestivum (bread wheat). RNAcentral describes it as "partial small subunit ribosomal RNA". Lineage: Eukaryota; Viridiplantae; Streptophyta; Magnoliopsida; Poales; Poaceae. The record is from RNAcentral.